RNAcentral lists this transfer RNA (73 nucleotides) under Schistocerca americana (American grasshopper). Its description in RNAcentral is "tRNA-Ala". It matches the Rfam family "tRNA". From Rfam's summary of the family: Transfer RNA (tRNA) molecules are approximately 80 nucleotides in length. Their secondary structure includes four short double-helical elements and three loops (D, anti-codon, and T loops). Further hydrogen bonds mediate the characteristic L-shaped molecular structure. tRNAs have two regions of fundamental functional importance: the anti-codon, which is responsible for specific mRNA codon recognition, and the 3' end, to which the tRNAs corresponding amino acid is attached (by aminoacyl-tRNA synthetases). tRNAs cope with the degeneracy of the genetic code in two manners: having more than one tRNA (with a specific anti-codon) for a particular amino acid; and 'wobble' base-pairing, i.e. permitting non-standard base-pairing at the 3rd anti-codon position. RNAcentral also lists the same sequence under 1 other name. The record is from RNAcentral. Lineage: Eukaryota; Metazoa; Arthropoda; Insecta; Orthoptera; Acrididae.
GGGGGCGUAGCUCAGAUGGUAGAGCGCUCGCUUAGCAUGCGAGGGGUACUGGGAUCGAUACCCAGCGUCUCCA